CCGCCCCCCCUUGUAAAAAAAAAAAAUCCCGGUUUUCGUUUAGUCUUCCCUCAUGUUGGGCAGAUCAUGUUCCCAAAUAUUGGUUUAGGGUUCGGGGAGGGCUGGGAAAAGAUUCUUUUAUUGUUUUUGUUCUUUUAGGAAAACAAAAACAGGAGAGGGCUGGGGGCAGGCUUGGGCAGUUUGGCUGGGCUGGGAUCCCCUUCCCUCUGUGUCCCCGAAGAGACCGGGACUCACUGACCGACUCUCUCUUUUCUCUCUCGGGUGGGUUGGGCUCGGGCUUUCUUAACCGCAGCCUGCGGGCGGAGCGGUGGCGGCGGCGGCGGAAGAGGCGGCGGCGGCGGGGGCGCUGCUAGCAGCACGGGCAGGAGCCAUGUCAAGAGAAAACCACCAGCCAACUGAGCCCCUCCAUCCCUGCUGCAGUGCGCACUGUGACCGGGCCGCCCGCGCUGCUGCCGCCGCUCAGCCCCCACCUGGGACCCAUAGUCUAGCUCGGCACCCCGGGCGGCAGCUGAGGAGGAGGCGCUGGCUGCGACUGGGGAGUAGGCAGGGAGAGAGGAGGAAGACAAGAGGAAAGAGGAGGAGGAGGAGGAGAGAGGGGGGUGGGAAUGGCGCUGGCGGUGGGGGAGGGGAAGGGAGGGGAUCCUGCACUAAGAGGUCCGUCAGCCGAGUGAGCCCCAAGGAUUAAAGUUAUUCCUGUCCGAGCAUCGGCUCUCGCUUCUCUCUUCCCCCUACGAGCGGGCUCCGGAUUCUCAGGAAAAGAAGGACGAGGUUGAUGUUGGGGGGAGGAAAAAAAAAAAGGCUGAAGCAGCAGCGGGUGGUAGACGUCGACGGUGGCACAGCCUCGGUUUUGGGUUUUUUUCCCACCCCCACCGGUGGUUGCGGAAGCGGCGGCGGCGGCAAGCGCCUCCCGGGCCGGGGCAGUAACGCGUUUGAGGAAAGAAGCGAGAACAAACAACUUAAAAUGGCAGCGACGGCCGCUGCGUCACCCGCCCCUCCGCGGUGCCGCCCCGAGGCCACCGCGGCUGCGCGUCCCUCCAGCCUCUAUCACUGACGCCGAAGCAAAGGGGGAGGAAGUCAAGAGUGAGAGAUGUUCUGGAUAAGAAGAUGAUAAAGGAAAAAAAAACUAAAAUGAGCAAAAUAUAUAUAAUUUAUUAAACUGAAGUGUUGUCGUAAAUCGAGCUUCUACCAUGAGCCAAACGCCUAGGAGAUGAAGAAAUUAAUAAAAUACAUCACCCCCUUCCAUUAUGGUUUCUCCGAAGGGCGUGAAGGGUCUCCCCGCCACUCCCUCCCGCUCCCCCCUUAGAGGGGUCGCGUGUAGCUUCCAGCUUCCUCCCCCUAGUGACGUCAGAACACCCCCAGUUUCUCCCCACCCCCACCCCCCACGAAGCACCCGGAUGGAACCGUAGAGGACGGCUGGGGGAGGGGAAAGAAAGUAAUCAGUCCACGGCUGGGCUGCUGAGUUGGGAAGUUUGACUCAUAGGAGAGGGGCCUGGGAGCGGGCAAGAGGAGAUGCCUUCCCUCCCUUCCGGAUAUUUCACUUUCAAACCGCUCAGCGGUGUGUUGUAGGGAGGGGGGAGGAGCUGAAGGGGAGGACCGGAGGGAAGCUUAUUGUAACCAGAUUCAAGUUCAAUUCCUUCACCGUCUUCCGCAGAAACCGCUGCAGGCCGCUGGCCUUUUCCUCGCGGGUUGAACCUUGCGCAAAGCGCGCCGUUUGGAGUCAGAACCGGGCUAGGCUUGUGCUGCUACGGAUGAUCCGAGUAGCCGACUUCGGGCUAGCCUCAGUUCCCUAAAUUGUACAACGGAAGGGGUCGCAUCCCAAAGCGCAGGAGACGGGUAGGAGGAAGACAGUCAAGGUCCUGCCCCGGUCGGCAGCCGGUGAUCAGAUGUUGUCCUACACCCAAAUUGCCCCGGGCUAAAGUUCUGUUUUGUGCUUGAAACUAGCUCAGAAACGUCACUCUCCUAGAUAAAUUGUGGCGAUUUAAUGGAGAAGCUCUUCCACAACUUCGGUUUUCCUGUUAUCUGAUCGGAUCUCAGGGUAAAUCGAGUGGCCUUUCUCCUUCCCGCUGGCUUUGAGAAAGUACACCUGGCAAUCUUGGAGGGGCGGGGAAAUGUAGUUAGUUUUAAGCCCACAGAUGCUCAAAAGAAGCGGCUAUUGCCGAAACACCAAAGUGGCUCCACCUUCUACGUAAAGAUACUCAAGUCACCGCACUAACGGGAGCCUACGGAGAGUCAACAAAGUCCAGGGACAAGAUAAAAGUCAGGACAACUGGCAAUGCAGUGGAUGACCUUGACAUCUUCAAUGUCUGACGAAGCUCUAAGCAUUUCACAGUGCCUGCUUCACCCCAUUCAUGGCCCAUUGGAACAAACUAUUCUCAUCACAUGCUUUGGGUAGACAUCCUCCUAACUCACUGACAGGUUUGAGGCCUGUUGGUUGCCCUCAACUUGGUUUAGCCUAUUUGCCAAAAUGGUUUUAGCAGGGGGUGGCGGAUAGACAUACUAUAGCUUCUUGAAGCUACAGAUGAGAACUAGGUAUCAGGUUGGACACCAAAUAUGGAUAAGCAGCCCUGAAAUGUUUCAACAAGCCCACAUAUCAGAGGUACUAGUUCUCGCUUAACACCUCCUUUUAGCUCACAGUCUAAAGGAGGAGGUAACAUGCAAAGAAGUACUAAUCAGCUAUUUACUGGAUAAAUGGGAAAUAAUCAACAGAAGAAAAGCCCAAGAAUUAAAAGGGAUCAGAAAAGACUUCCUGUAGAAGGAACAAUUUAGCUGGAACUUGAAGGAAACCAGAAGGCAUCUGUAUGAAAGAAAGAUUCCAGGCAUGGAGAAAUCAAGAGAUGAAGUAUCUUAUGCAGGUAACUGGAUCAAAGAGAAUGGAAAGAAGAUGGAGAGAGCGAUAAAGAGUAUAAAGAGAUUGAAAAAGUACAAAGAGAAAAUAGGAGGCUAUGUUAUAAAGGAUUUUAUAACCCAAACAGAAUUUGUGUUUGAUCCUGAAGGUGAUAAGAAGCUCCCAGAGUUUACUGGAUGAUGUAGUAGAACCCUCAUUUUAGGAAAAUCACUUUGGUGACUGAAUGUUGGAUGGACUGAAGGAGACACUUAUGUGGAGAGACUAACUGGUAGACUACUGAAAUAGACCAAGUUCAGGGAAUACAAGGCCCUGCACUAGAGUAGUAUAGCAGUAUCAUAAUAUAGGAAAUUUAUUAGAAAGAUGUUGCAAAGGUAAAGUUGACAGGCCUUAGCAAUAAGUUGGAGAUGGCCAGAUAAGAGAUCGAGGAGUUAAAGAUAACUCCUAAAUUGAGAGCCUAGGGGCUAUGCUUUGUUUGAUAAUAGGGAAGUUUGGAAGGAGGAAAGAAAACUGAUGAAUUCUGUUUUGGACAUACUGUAUUGAGUUUAAGAUUUCUAAUGGACAUCCAAUUUUAACUGUCCUGAAAUACAAUUGGAGAUAAGAAACUGGAUUAGUUUACCCUCCAGCAAUGGCACAUGGGUCAAGUAGUUGGUGAGAAAUAAGUAAGGAGAUUACAAGACAGGAUACAGAGAGAAAACUAAGCUUCUUUACAAUUUUUCCAGAAGACAGGUAUCAUAGUCACCUAUUUUUCCAGUUUCAUUAUAGAAUACACAUUUUUCCUAUAUCCUGUGAUCCAACCAAAUAAGUAAGGAGAUUACAAGACAGAAUACAGAGAGAAAACUAAGCUUCUUUACAAUUUUUCCAGAAGACAGGUAUCAUAGUCACCUAUUUUUCCAGUUUCAUUAUAGAAUACACAUUUUUCCUAUAUCCUGUGAUCCAACCAAACAAGGCUUUUCUCUGUUUAUCACCUUUGGCAUGCUUUCUCUGGUCUUUGAAAUGGCCAUCCUCUCAUCAUCCUGAGUACAUUUCCUCUUUAUUUGCUUCACAAAAUCAAAGGAAUCACAUGUCCUUGGUCUUUUAUUGGCCCCAUGCUUUAAAAAAAAAAAAAAAAAAAAAA
Long non-coding RNA from Sarcophilus harrisii (Tasmanian devil), 3959 nucleotides. RefSeq lists it as uncharacterized. The transcript has 2 exons. The record is from RefSeq and is a predicted model, not a curated record. Lineage: Eukaryota; Metazoa; Chordata; Mammalia; Dasyuromorphia; Dasyuridae.